This 497-nucleotide ribosomal RNA is filed under the name uncultured bacterium. RNAcentral's name for it is "partial 16S ribosomal RNA". It matches the Rfam family "Bacterial small subunit ribosomal RNA", at positions 28 to 507 of the family's 1533-position model. The record is from RNAcentral.
GACGAACGCUGGCGGCGUGCCUAAUACAUGCAAGUCGAACGCUGAAGAGAGGAGCUUGCUCUUCUUGGAUGAGUUGCGAACGGGUGAGUAACGCGUAGGUAACCUGCCUUGUAGCGGGGGAUAACUAUUGGAAACGAUAGCUAAUACCGCAUAACAAUGGAUGACACAUGUCAUUUAUUUGAAAGGGGCAAUUGCUCCACUACAAGAUGGACCUGCGUUGUAUUAGCUAGUAGGUGAGGUAACGGCUCACCUAGGCGACGAUACAUAGCCGACCUGAGAGGGUGAUCGGCCACACUGGGACUGAGACACGGCCCAGACUCCUACGGGAGGCAGCAGUAGGGAAUCUUCGGCAAUGGGGGCAACCCUGACCGAGCAACGCCGCGUGAGUGAAGAAGGUUUUCGGAUCGUAAAGCUCUGUUGUAAGUCAAGAACGAGUGUGAGAGUGGAAAGUUCACACUGUGACGGUAGCUUACCAGAAAGAGACGGCUAACUACGUG